GAUGGUAUAGUUCAAGUGGUAGAGUGCAUGCUUAGAAUGCACGGGGUCCUGGUUUCAAUCCCCAGUACCUCCU
This 73-nucleotide transfer RNA is filed under the name Camelus bactrianus (Bactrian camel). It matches the Rfam family "tRNA". Rfam says of the family: Transfer RNA (tRNA) molecules are approximately 80 nucleotides in length. Their secondary structure includes four short double-helical elements and three loops (D, anti-codon, and T loops). Further hydrogen bonds mediate the characteristic L-shaped molecular structure. tRNAs have two regions of fundamental functional importance: the anti-codon, which is responsible for specific mRNA codon recognition, and the 3' end, to which the tRNAs corresponding amino acid is attached (by aminoacyl-tRNA synthetases). tRNAs cope with the degeneracy of the genetic code in two manners: having more than one tRNA (with a specific anti-codon) for a particular amino acid; and 'wobble' base-pairing, i.e. permitting non-standard base-pairing at the 3rd anti-codon position. The record is from Rfam by way of RNAcentral. RNAcentral also lists the same sequence under 2 other names. Lineage: Eukaryota; Metazoa; Chordata; Mammalia; Artiodactyla; Camelidae.